Molecule: long non-coding RNA, 1194 nt
Organism: Dreissena polymorpha
Lineage: Eukaryota; Metazoa; Mollusca; Bivalvia; Myida; Dreissenidae
Exons: 2
Source: RefSeq, a predicted model, not a curated record
UCCAAGUAAUCUUUGUUAUUUUGUCACGAAAUAACCACAUAUUAUAACAAAGAAGGAAAUAUUGUGCACCUCGUGAUCGACUCGAUAGUUUGAUAUCGAAAGUGAAUUGUGUGUGGUGUUAGGCUACGUUGUAAACAAAUGUAGUUCCUUGUAUAUAACAACUUAAUGCCAUAUUGAUAUCAUAAAACUUAAAGAUUUGCAAUUCAAUAUGAUUAAAAUUGUAAUAAAUAACGCUCGACACUUUGUUACAGAACGAUAUUCUGAUUUAAAAAAAAUCAUUAUUUAAUCAGCGGUUAUUUUUGGAACGCGGAGUAAUACACUGACCUUGGUUACACUACAGUCAUUAUCAAAGUACGACAAACACUCAUGAAAACUUAUUUUGUUUAAAUAAAAAUAGUUUACUGAAUAAAAAGUGGGAUAAAUAGAAUAAUAGGUUAGUGUUGAUUAUAGAUCAGGUUUAUCAUGCUCGGCACGAAAACGAAAAAGCACUCGCCAAGGCUCGUGCUUUUUGUUUUCUAAGCCUCGCAUGAUAAACCUGAUCUAUAAUCAACACUAACCUAUUAUUCUCUAUAUAUAACAUUGUAAAACUUAGUUGCACAAUUAAGUUUAAUCAAUACACAGAAGUAUACUUGUUAUGAUUCAAUAAAACUAAAGUGGACAAUUCAAGAACAGGAAUGAAGCUAAAAUGUAUACAUGGGGAUAAACCACGUGGAGAACAACGAACACCAUACAUAGCGGUGGAUGCAGUCUUUUUAAACCUAAAUGCACGCUGAUUGGACCACGUUAAAGAACAAGUGAUUGUCGCUGGUAUGCGGGUCUUGACAUGGCGGACCAAAUCAUUGAGGGAGGUCGCAUCAUCGCUUACAGGUUCGAGUGGGUCUUUGGGAUGUGGUCCGCAUGGUUCGUCCCUGGCUUGAACGACCUUGACAUAAGGUUCAACAUCAACGCAGCGACUUGUGCCGUUCCGGUGAAGGCCAAAUCACUGAGAAGAAUGUGAUCACAUUUCUAUGACAGCAAACACGAGUUUAUCAUUUGUAAGCCGAAUUAAUUUGGAGUGCGAAGUUAAAUUUUUAGUUUAAUACUUGAUGCAGGACUUGUUUAAUAAUCCCGUAUUCGUUCAGUUGGCUUAUGCAUGUGUAUACCAAACGUUCGUGUACACUUUAUUCAUAUUGCAUAAUACAUUUAUUUAGAUUA